GAUGAACGCUAGCUACAGGCUUAACACAUGCAAGUCGAGGGGAAACGACAUCGCAAGCUUGCUUUUGAUGGGCGUCGACCGGCGCACGGGUGAGUAACGCGUAUCCAACCUGCCCAUCACUUGGGAAUAACCUUGCGAAAGUAAGACUAAUACCCAAUGAUAUCCCACGAAGGCAUCGGAAUGGGAUUAAAGAUUUAUCGGUGAUGGAUGGGGAUGCGUCUGAUUAGCUUGUUGGCGGGGUAACGGCCCACCAAGGCAACGAUCAGUAGGGGUUCUGAGAGGAAGGUCCCCCACAUUGGAACUGAGACACGGUCCAAACUCCUACGGGAGGCAGCAGUGAGGAAUAUUGGUCAAUGGGCGAGAGCCUGAACCAGCCAAGUAGCGUGCAGGAUGACGGCCCUAUGGGUUGUAAACUGCUUUUAUAAGGGAAUAAAGUGGGUCUCGUGAGACUUUUUGCAUGUACCUUAUGAAUAAGGACCGGCUAAUUCCGUG
This 492-nucleotide ribosomal RNA is filed under the name uncultured bacterium. Its description in RNAcentral is "partial 16S ribosomal RNA". It matches the Rfam family "Bacterial small subunit ribosomal RNA", at positions 28 to 507 of the family's 1533-position model. The record is from RNAcentral.